CCGGGGAAGGCACAGGGAGAACCUAAAGUUAGGAUGUAGAAAUGCCUGCUUCAAGGUGGUGCUCUCAGCGCUCAAGUAGGCCAGGCUGCUCUGAGACAGGAAAUCCAGACCACGUGGACUCCUGAUGUUUAGGGAAAGGCAAAAGGAGUCUGUGCUCCAGAGAACUGGGCUUUCAAGGUCCCCAGGGGAGAAGGCAUAAGGAGAACGCAGCUGAGGUGUCCUUUCCAGGGAAAUACAACUUGUGUUUGGCCUUGUAAUAGUUUUGCUGGAGACAAUGUCGAGGCUAUUUCCCCACUGGGAUUUUGGAUUAUUUAUGGAGUGCCAGUUUCUCAUACCCCUUUAUCCUUCUGGAUAAUUAUGAGUUAGGAUUUCUACCAGAGGAUCCAAAUGAAAAUAACCAGCCC
Molecule: long non-coding RNA, 404 nt
Filed under: Dasypus novemcinctus (nine-banded armadillo)
Lineage: Eukaryota; Metazoa; Chordata; Mammalia; Cingulata; Dasypodidae
Description: lncRNA (ENSDNOG00000050593.1)
Source: RNAcentral